Molecule: long non-coding RNA, 596 nt
Organism: Podarcis muralis (Common wall lizard)
Lineage: Eukaryota; Metazoa; Chordata; Lepidosauria; Squamata; Lacertidae
Source: RefSeq, a predicted model, not a curated record
AGAAGACUGGAAAAGGUUACUGGGGCAACGCCUUCUGGUGAGGAACCAAUGUAAUGUGUUACCAGAAGGAGGAAAUAAGUGGCAACAGCUUUCUUGCUGUAAACCUGUUGACUGCAGAGAGAGAGAGAGAGCGAGAGAGAGAGAGUGCACCCAUCUGCACCCACAGGAAACAUGGCCUGAGUUAUUGCCCACGCCUGCAGCUAUGUGGCAGCUAAAAUUAGGGAAUGCUGCUGCUGCUGUCGGAGCAAAGAGGAGCAACAGCAGGAGCCAAAUGAGAAACCAGUAACUACAUGACACGCCUCAUCUGGAAGAGCUGAGCCACCAGCAACAUGUACCCUUCCCGUCCAAAGUCAGCCUAUUAGAAGAUGACGCUAAAAGCCUACAAGGAGCAUCUUCCCUGGGACAAGAUCCUGCACUGCUUCCCCUCAAGCAACUAUGAUGUCAGCAAGUCCACACCCUCUUGCAUCAUCACAGACCAUAAUGAAGACAGAUUCACAAACUCCUCUUUCAGCGGAGAUGAAUGUGUCUGAAAACCCUCUGCCUGUGAUGCCCGUAGAUGGUUAUAAAAUUAUAAAAUGAUUUAAUUGGAAGUGAAA